GACGAACGCUGGCGGCGUGCUUAACACAUGCAAGUCGUACGGUAAGGCCCUUUCGGGGGUACACGAGUGGCGAACGGGUGAGUAACACGCGAGUAACCUGCCCACAACUUUGUGAUAACGCUAGGAAACUGGUGCUAAUACUGGCUAUGUGCUCCUUCUGCAUGGUGGGGGUUGGAAAGCUGCGGCGGUCGGGGAUGGACUCGCGGCCUAUCAGCUUGUUGGUGGGGUAGUGGCCUACCAAGGCGGCGACGGGUAGCCGGCCUGGGAGGGUGACCGGCCACAUGGGGACUGAGAUACGGACCAGACUCCUACGGGAGGCAGCAGGGGGGAAUAUGGCACAAUGGGCGGAAGCCUGAGGCAGCAACGCCGGGGGCGGGAGGACGGCCUUGGGGUGGUAAACGGAUUUCGCCUGUGACGAAGCGUGAGUGACGGUAACGGGUAAAGAAGCACCGGCUAACUACGUG
RNAcentral lists this ribosomal RNA (464 nucleotides) under uncultured bacterium. RNAcentral's name for it is "partial 16S ribosomal RNA". It matches the Rfam family "Bacterial small subunit ribosomal RNA", at positions 28 to 507 of the family's 1533-position model. The record is from RNAcentral.